RNAcentral lists this ribosomal RNA (638 nucleotides) under uncultured rumen bacterium. RNAcentral's name for it is "bacterial SSU rRNA". It matches the Rfam family "Bacterial small subunit ribosomal RNA", at positions 1 to 643 of the family's 1533-position model. The record is from RNAcentral.
UAGAGUUUGAUCCUGGCUCAGGAUGAACGCUAGCGGCAGGCUUACACAUGCAAGUCGAGGGGCAGCGCGAGGUAGCAAUACCUUGGCGGCGACCGGCGCAAGGGUGCGUAACGCGUGAGCAAUCUGCCCGUAUCAGGGGGAUAAGCGAUGGAAACGUCGUCUAAUACCGCAUAACAACGAGGGAGGCAUCUUCCAUGUUUGAAAGAUUCGUCGGAUACGGAUGAGCUCGCGAGACAUUAGCUAGUCGGCGGGGUAACGGCCCACCGAGGCUACGAUGUCUAGGGGAACUGAGAGGUUGGUCCCCCACACUGGAACUGAGACACGGUCCAGACUCCUACGGGAGGCAGCAGUGAGGAAUAUUGGACAAUGGCCGGAAGGCUGAUCCAGCCAUGCCGCGUGAAGGAAGAACGUCCUAUGGAUUGUAAACUUUUUUUGUAUGGGAGCAAUAACGUCGUCGUGACGUCCGAUGAGAGUACCAUACGAAUAAGCAUGGGCUAACUCCGUGCCACAGCCGCGGGUAAUACGGAGGAUGCGAGCGUUAUCCGGAUUUAUUGGGGUUUAAAGGGUGCGUAGGCGGUUGUCAAGUCAGCGGGUGAACGCACGGGCUCAACCGUGACCUGCCGUGAACUGACGGACUG